UGUAGGGAUUGUUAAUGCUUGUUCUCCUGAUUGGGAGCAUGGCAUAAUAGCGUUUCGAUAUUUUUUAUUGUUCACUUAAGUAAUAUUGUGUUGUUUAGAAAUAGAAAAUUGAAUGACGCAGAUGACAUAUUUAACAUACAGCUUAUUGAAUAAAAAUCAAAUUUAUAAUUCUUUAAAAUUUAACUAACUUUUUAAUUAAACUUUACUACUUUAAAACUUUUUGAUAUUGAAGAUUUUUUGUAUCGGCAAUAAAUUGAGUAUGUAUCGUAUUUGUCUAUGAUUAAAAUGGAAUUAGGCCUUCAAAAAGAGGCCUGCUUGGUCUUGUUGUUAAUGACCCCGAAUUUUGUACAAUGGGCUCCGAGUUAAAAUCACGAUCGGAGUAUGUAUCUUUAUUGACAUUGGAACUUGAAUUUAGCUGAAAGAUAUUUGCUAUUCGGGGUCUGUCUGUACUAGAGCAUGCCCGUUACAUCCGUGCGUAUGAUCCUGUAGGUACAGAAUAUAUCAUAGUUUGGGCCCGUUGAAUGUGGAAUGUUUUUUUUUUUUUGUAUUAAAAAAACAGUUCGUGAUGACUGACACAAUAACAUUAAAAACGGGUAUGACGUCACCCAUGUUAAGACAUGAAGUUGAAAAGUCAAUUAUUGUAAUUUAAAACUCAAUCGUAAUUUAUAACGGCUCGAUUGGCUGGAUACAGGACGGUGGUAUCUACCCGAAUGGGCCGUCGCGGGUAGCAGCAAAGCGUUGCACGCAAUGCAAUACAGUUAGAAGUUAGCUGACGCGUGAAGUCAACGGCCUCAAGCGAUACGGAACAUGCCACGGAGCAUCCACCUUCGACAUACAUUGCGGGUUUACCAAAAAAUAUUGUUAACUAGCUGACCCCGCAGACUUCGUAGUGCCCCAAUCGAUAAAUAAAAAACCUAAACUUAUGUAUAAAUUAAACUUAAAAGAAACAAAAGGAAUCCGUCCGACGGGAGACACAUCAAAGAGAAAACAAAAUUGUUAUUUUUAUUUAAUUCCGAGCAUUUUCAUAUUUAUCAAACUUUUAAACCUUCUCUGAACUUCCACAAAUAAUUGAAGUCCAAAAUUAGCCAAAUCGGUCCAGCCGUUCUCGAGUUUUAGCGAGACUAACGAACAGCGAUUUAUUUUUAUAUAUGUAUAUAUAAAUUAGUAUUUAUUUUUAAUUUAAUAAUAGUUAACAGAGUGUAGUAAAUUAUCAUAUUGGCUGAGAUAACUAACUGGUCCACUUUAUAAAAAUAGAGUAAUACGGCAUUUAAAAUUAUGUAUUUAUUUUUCUAAUUUUCUAUUAGAAUCUGUUUCAAGAAUACACUACAUUCAAUAGUACCGAAGUCAAAUAAAAUAAACGAAGAAAUAAUGAAGAAAAAAUUCUUAAUAUAAAGACAACGCAUUAUUGAAUUGAAUAUGUCUAAUUAUUUAAUUGUCCAAUCAAUUUCCUCGGAACGAAGGAUUCUUCGGAAAGGAUUAAAUAAAAAAGAGGAAUAGUUUGAAUUCGGGACGGUCCACAAAAACGAACGGACGACGAAAUGUGCAUUUAAUUGAUUGGUUUCUGUGAAAUAUUUUUACGUUUUAAUCAUUUCAAUUUAUCCCUGCACUAAAAUGUUUUCGAGUUAUAUAAUAAUUAAGUUGAUUGUCUAUACUUCAUUGAUUUAAAUAGAAAAACAAUCUUAGAUUAAAUUUUAAUUCAAAACGUUAAAAAAGAUUUGUGAAUGUUUGUAAAUAACGUUACGUAUAAUAUACAAUACAGUAGCAAAUUUAAUUAAUUAUAUUUUAAUUUUAUAAUAUUUUAUUAAGCGACUUUUUAUUUUAAUUAAAGACAUCCAGCUCUAGGAUUUAUUACGAGUUCUUUUGAAGAAUAUACAUACACAUUAGCAGAUAUAUUCGCUCAGAGAACACAUUCGAUGCUCUCCAUGGAACCUCCUUCUUCUUCGUGCUUUGGAUUCCUCAAUACUGAGGGUCGUGACCACCUCCUCGCAACAAGAGUUUAUUCCGGAUCAUUCCACGCUAUUUGCUUUUACCUGCCGCCAAGUGUAGAGCAUCGUGAACUGUGAUGUCGAGGGUAGUGCGGAUCUGGUCAGUCCAACGUGUCGGGCCUCUACCUCGUGGUCUUCUUCCGUCCACCUUGCCAGUCACCAUUAGCUUCUCCAACCUGCCGUUAUCAUUUCUUAUAAUGUGGCCAAAGUAUUCCAGAACUCUACGUAGGAAGAUGGUAGAAAGCCUCGUCUUUAUCUGGAGUUCUUGGAGGAUCGACACGUUGGUGCGACGUGCUGUCCAGGGAAUUCCUAGCAUCUUUCGCCAGCAGCACAUCUCAAAUGCAUCAAUUCGGUCGCGAUCGGCUUUCUUCAUGGUCCAGGCCUCUGCGCUAUACAAGAAUCUGGAGAAAACUAAACUGCGUACAAGAUUGCUCUUGGUUUUCAGGGAGAUGUUUUUAUCCUUUCAUAUCUUAUUAAUUUACGCCAUGGCCCCCUUUGCCAUUCCGAUCCUUCUUCGCAUCUCAUUUUUGCACGAGCCGUCACAACUAAUGUUUGCACCCAGGCCUCCUAUUGAGAAGUGUUUUUUAUUGUGGUGGAUGGCGUCGAGUUCACUUAAAGUAUUGACUAUUGAGAAGUUAACUUGUAAUGCGACUGUUCUAGGAUCGGAUGAUCAGAAAUAGUACUUUUGUUGACCUAAACAUUUGGCACACAGUUUUUUUGUGUCCCGAAUUGAACUAACCCAUGUAUGUGACGGCGUUAACGAUAUUUAUGUUAUAUAGCACGUGCAAUAGGAGUGACUCACACAAACCAGGUGCGCCGGCCGUGUCGUUCCACUCGUAAACAACAGCUGCAACAGAGGUGACUCAUAAGCCAGCUGCGCCGGCUAGUAUAAAAAGGCGGAACGUGCCUUGAAAUGAACAUUCGUUGGACUGCGCUUGCCUGGUGCACUUACUAUAUCCUUGUUACGUUGUGUGAUUCAGUGACUGUUGUACGUACUGGUUAAAGUUGGACAAGUGUUAAAGUGAAUUGUUAAGAUAACAUAUUGUUGAUUAAAUCAGGAACCAAAAAGUGACAUCGUUUUACUUGGUGUUCAACAAGAUAAUGUCUACCCUCAAGCCUACAUCAGAAGUGAGAUCAGGACUCUACUCUCACUGGCGUGACGUGUUUGAACAUGUUCGAAGUACAGCAAAAAAACAUGAUGCAGAUCAGAAUACUAGUAGUGGUAUGCCACAAGAGCGUCAAUGCAGCAUACGUAAGUCGUGUAAUAACGUCUCUGUUACCUCGAUGGAAGAUCUGAGCCACGAAGAAAUCGUCACAUCUUACGUUCUGGCUCAUGUUGCCCAGUUGACUCUCGACUUAUCACAUGGCAUUUACUAACGGAAAUACAACACGUAACAAGCUAUUGCAAGAAAUUAAGGCAAGUGCAAAUCUCAAGUGAAACUUCGAUCGCAAUAAUGGAUCUGUCAUGACGAGUGGGUAGUUCCGACACGAAUCGUUUUUAAGCCAAUGACUACUGCUAGAGUUACAUGGCACUAGUACAGUAAACCAGGACAUGAGACUGUGAAUUGUCGCUGAAAUUUUAGAAUCUACUCGAUUCAAUACCAAUAACACUACACGUUCGAUGACUUCGGGCUCCAGCAAGCAAGCAAACAAGCAAGCAAGUUUCCGUGGGGAAGAAAAAUUGACACAUCUGAAGUCGUCGUGACCUGUAAGAUAAGACGUCCGGUGCGUUCGUGUCUGGCGAUGCGGCGGUGUUCGGGUUCCGCUGGCGGAUGCAGGUUUUUCCGGUGAAGUGCGUGCUUGUGCGUGCUUGUGCGUGCUUGACAAGUGUUCGCGGUUGGCUUCCUCAGUGUGGGAGUAACAUCGUGUAAGAGAGGUGGAACCCGUAAAAUUGUAGUUUGCGUGGUGGCUGGUAAGAUUUGUUGCGGUAAGAAGUUUGCAUGGUGGUAAAAUGUCUUGUGAGUCUGCACAGGUAGCCGGAGGUGAGACUUCCGCGGUCGCGGCCCACCCAGUCCGCGAGAACCGGGCAGAUCGCCUCGACGGUACGGAGGCCGGCUGACGGGUCCGCCAAACGACGAGACCACGCCUCCAGCACGGACUGCCGAUAUUGGAGCCCCCACGCUCUGGCUGCACUUGCGCUAGGGCGCGCCGCCUCGUAGGAGACUGUGAGGUAUCAUUGAAUAACUGCGAUCGCGCGCUGCCGGCGUCGCAGCGCGGCGACGUUCUCGUGGGUAAGGACGUGGCACCAGACGGGUGCUCCGUAUAGUGCCAUCGACCGCACGGGUACCAUCACCCUGCCUAUUUCUGCCGUGAAGCAGUGGUGUAUUUCGGUUUGAAGGGUGGGACAGCGGUUGUAACUAUACUGAGACCUUAGAAUUUCUAUCUCAAGGUGUGUGGUGCGUUUACGCUGUGGAUGUCUAUGGGUUCCAGUAACCACUUAACACAAGGUGGGCUGUGAGCUCGUCCACACAUUAAUACGAAGAGCAUAAUCAAACGAAAUUAGAUACGAAGUUUAAAGGGCCGUUUAAAGUAGUUGAAGUAUUGGAUGGUGUCGAUUUAAUUUUGACUCUCACACAUUCGCUUAAGGCUCGAGCUGCUACUUGCCUCACAAAAAUACAGCCUGCAAAACCUGAACAACCUCCUCAUCCGUGGGCGCCCGGCUCUCGCCUGCAAGUCGGCUGUUACGUGUGCGGUGAUGCGAGCCAUGUAGCUUCUGGGUGUUCCAUGCGCUACAAGAAGAAAAACGACACUGCUCCAGGUGCUGUGGCAGGUUCAACCAGAGACGUCAACGUGUGUUCCAGAGCUUCAGUGUGUUACAGAUAAGUGGUUUUGGCUUCCCCUUUAUGUUCCAUUCAGGGUCAGAAUGUAGUCUUAUAAAACAAAGUCAUAGUAAUUUAUUCAAUGGUAAGCGGUUUCAUGAACAAGUCACUCAUUGAUCUGAAAGUAACUUAGUCCAAUCCUGAUGGCAAGAGCACUUAGGGGAUAUUCAACUCGCCCUUAAUAGUGCACGUUGUCUAGUAACAGGGUUUACUCCAAUAGAAUAGAUGUUUGCCGUUCAGGGUAGUUCACUUGAAAUAUCUUAAAGUUUCAACAGAGUAAUCCCUCUAGAUUAGAUCUUGAUUUAGCACGGUCGAAGACUGGCGAAAACAUAAAAAAAAAGGCACAAACAGAAGCUUGGUUUAGUCGAGGCAAAGCUAAAGUCAAACUCUUUUCCGCUGGGGAUUUUGUUUUCGUAAGUUGACCGAAAAUGUAAAGGUCCCUUCAACAUUACUGCAGUUUUGGAAAACGAUAGGUAUAAAUUGAGACAUGUAAAUAGUUCUAAUAGAUGUACAAAUUUCCCCAUGAAAACUUACGUGAAAUACCUCGAGGCCCAUCAGGCCUACUAGAAAUUUCUGAAAAUUAUAGUGACGAUGACGUGACGGCGUACACAGAUGGGUUAAUUAAUCUUGGUCAUGAAACUGAUCUUAAUGAUGACGACUCUAUCACUGACAAUAGAAGCGACAUUUUUGUCCGCAAAUAGCGAUACAGCAAACAUAGUCUGUGGGUAGUGAUACAAUGUCUGUAAGCUCAGGCACCUCAGUUGCAGGUGUAGGUAAUGUAGAAAACGAUGGUCGGUCUCGCACUAUUUCUGAAGAAAUUCCGUAUAAAUGUUCUGGUUUAAGAAAUGUUUUAACAAACGCUACCGUACACGCAGAUUAGAAUUGUAUGUGGCUAGAGAGAUGUUAAUCCGGACUAGCAAAAAAAAAAAAAGAGAAAAAAAAGAAAAAAGAAAGUGUGAAGUCAUUGAAGGGUCUGUCCGGUCCAAUGGCUUGGCUAUAGGGAUUUUCAUCCAGAUUAGCCACAAGAAUUAGCUACAGGGAUUGCGAUUCGGUCUAGCAUUAUCCGGUCCAGUUCGAAAAAAGUUAAAAGGGACAUACUUACAUACCUGAAGAGUUUCAAAUGAACUGGCCCAGGUAUGUAAGCAGUCUGAAGGUUAUUUAUAGCCAGUAUAGGAUUUUCUGAAGAAUUAUGCGAACCGAACCGUACUAGAUUGUUAAUAUCAUAGACCACGUUUUAUGUUGUAUCCGUUAAUGUCAGGAUGAACGAACACGUUUGUUGUUCACAGACAUACCAUAAGGAUGCGCGCACGAGGACGAGCGCACGUCAGUAUGGCCGUGACGGCGUUAACGAUAUUUAUGUUAUAUAGCACGUGCAAUAGGAGUGACUCACACAAACCAGGCGCGCCGGCCGUGUCGUUCCACUCGUAAACAACAGCUGCAACAGAAGUGACUCAUAAGCCAGCUGCGCCGGCUAGUAUAAAAAGGCGGAACGUGCCUUGAAAUGAACAUUCGUUGGACUGCGCUUGCCUGGUGCACUUACUAUAUCCUCGUUACGUUGUGUGAUUCAGUGACUGUUGUACGUACUGGUUAAAGUUGGACAAGUGUUAAAGUGAAUUGUUAAGAUAACAUAUUGUUGAUUAAAUCAGGAAUCAAAUAGUGACAUCGUUUUACUUGGUGUUCAACAAGAUAAUAUCUACCCUCAAGCUUACAUCAGAAGUGAGAUCAGGACUCUACUCUCACUGGCGUGACGUGUUUGAACAUGUUCGAAGUACAGCAAAAAAAAACAUGAUGCAGAUCAGAAUACUAGUAGUGGUACGCCACAAGAGCGUGAAUGCAGCAUACGUAAGUCGUGUAAUAACGUCUCUGUUACCUCGAUGGAAGAUCUGAGCCACGAAGAAAUCGUCACAUCUUACGUUCUGGCUCAUGUUGCCCAGUUUGACUGUCGACUUCAUCACAUGGCAUUUACUAACGGAAAUACAACACGUAACAAGCUAUUGCAAGAAAUUAAGGCAAGUGCAAAUCUCAAGUGAAACUUCGAUCGCAAUAAUGGAUCUGUCAUGACGAGUGGGUAGUUCCGACACGAAUCGUUUUUAAGCCAAUGACUACUGCUAGAGUUACAUGGCACUAGUACAGUAAACCAGGACAUGAGACUGUGAAUUGUCGCUGAAAUUUUAGAAUCUACUCGAUUCAAUACCAAUAAAACUACACGUUCGAUGACUUCGGGCUCCAGCAAGCAAGCAAACAAGAAAGCAAGCAAGUUUCCGUGGGGAAGAAAAAUUGACACAUCUGAAGUCGUCGUGACCUGUAAGAUAAGACGUCCGGUGCGUUCGUGUCUGGCGAUGCGGCGGUGUUCGGGUUCCGCUGGCGGAUGCAGGUUUUUCCGGUGAAGUGCGUGCUUGUGCGUGCUUGACAAGUGUUUGCGGUUGGCUUCCUCAGUGUGGGAGUAACAUCGUGUAAGAGAGGUGGAACCCGUAAAAUUGUAGUUUGCGUGGUGGCUGGUAAGAUUUGUUGCGGUAAGAAGUUUGCAUGGUGGUAAAAUGUCUUGUGAGUCUGCACAGGUAGCCGGAGGUGAGACUUCCGCGGUCGCGGCCCACCCAGUCCGCGAGAACCGGGAGAUCGCCUCGACGGUACGGAGGCCGGCUGACGGGUCCGCCAAACGACGAGACCACGCCUCCAGCACGGACUGCCGAUAUUGGAGCCCCCACGCUCCGGCUGCACUUGCGCUAGGGCGCGCCGCCUCGUAGGAGACUGUGAGGUAUCAUUGAAUAACUGCGAUCGCGCGCUGCCGGCGUCGCAGCGCGGCGACGUUCUCGUGGGUAAGGACGUGGCACAAGACGGGUGCUCCGUAUAGUGCCAUCGACCGCACGGGUACCAUCACCCUGCCUAUUUCUGCCGUGAAGCGGUGGUGUAUUUCGGUUUGAAGGGUGGGGCAGCGGUUGUAACUAUGCUGAGACCUUAGAACUUCUAUCUCAAGGUGUGUGGUGCGUUUGCGCUGUGGAUGUCUAUGGGUUCCAGUAACCACUUAGCACAAGGUGGGCUGUGAGCUCGUCCACACAUUAAUACGAAGAGCAUAAUCAAACGAAAUUAGAUACGAAGUUUAAAGGGCCGUUUAAAGUAGUUGAAGUAUUGGAUGGUGUCGAUUUAAUUUUGACUCUCACACAUUCGCUUAAGGCUCGAGCUACUACUUGCCUCACAAAAAUACAGCCUGCAAAACCUGAACAACCUCCUCAUCCGUGGGCGCCCGGCUCUCGCCUGCAAGUCGGCUGUUACGUGUGCGGUGAUGCGAGCCAUGUAGCUUCUGGGUGUUCCAUGCGCUACAAGAAGAAAAACGACACUGCUCCAGGUGCUGUGGCAGGUCCAACCAGAGACGUCAACGUGUGUUCCAGAGCUUCAGUGUGUUACAGAUAAGUGGUUUUGGCUUCCCCUUUAUGUUCCAUUCAGGGUCAGAAUGUAGUCUUAUAAAACAAAGUCAUAGUAAUUUAUUCAAUGGUAAGCGGUUUCAUGAACAAGUCACUCUUUGAUCUGAAAGUAACUUAGACCAAUCAUGAUGGCAAGAGCACUUAGGGGAUAUUCAACUCGCCCUUAAUAGUGCACGUUGUCGAGUAACAGGGUUUACUUCAAUAGAAUAGACGUUUGCCGUUCAGGGUAGUUCACUUGAAAUAUCUAAAGUUUCAACAGAGUGAUAAUCCCUCUAGAUUAGAUCUCGAUUUAGCACGGUCGGAGACCGGCGAAAACAUAAAAAAGGGCACAAACAGAAGCUUGGUUUAGUCGAGGCAAAGCUAAAGUCAAACUCUUUUCCGCUGGGGAUUUUGUUUUCGUAAGUUGACCGAAAAUGUAAAGGUCCCUUCAACAUUACUGCAGUUUUGGAAAACGAUAGGUAUAAAUUGAGACAUGUAAAUAGUUCUAAUAGAGUGUACAAAUUUCCCCAUGAAAACUUACGUGAAACACCUCGAGGCCCGUCAGGCCUACUGGAAAUUUCUGAAAAUUAUAGUGACGAUGACGUGACGGCGUACACAGAUGGGUUAAUUAAUCUUGUUCAUGAAACUGAUCUUAAUGAUGACGACUCUAUCACUGACAAUAGAAGCGACAUUUUUGUCCGCAAAUAGCGAUACAGCAAACAUAGUCUGUGGGUAGUGAUACAAUGUCUGUAAGCUCAGGCACCUCAGGUGCAGGUGUUGGAAAUGUAGAAAACGAUGGUCGGUCUCGCACUAUUUCUGAAGAAAUUCCGUAUAAAUGUUCUGGUUUAAGAAAUGUUUUAACAAACGCUACCGUACACGCAGAUUAAAAAAAAAAAAAAAAAAAGAAAAAAAAAGAGAAUUGUAUGUGGCUAGAGAGAUGUUAAUCCGGACUAGCAAAAAAAAAAGAGGAAAAAAAAAAAGAAAGUGUGAAGUCAUUGAAGGGUCUGUCCGGUCCAAUGGCUUGGCUAUAGGGAUUUUCAUCCAGAUUAGCCACAACAAUUAGCUACAGGGAUUGCGAUUCGGUCUAGCAUUAUCCGGUCCAGUUCGAAAAACUGAAGGGAUAACAAUUCCGGUCUAAGUUAAAAGGGACAUACUUACAUACCUGAAGAGUUUUAAAUGAACUGGCCCAGGUAUGUAAGCAGUCUGAAGGUUAUUUAUAGCCAGUAUAGGAUUUUCUGAAGAAUUAUGCGAACCGAACCGUACUAGAUUGUUAAUAUCAUAGACCACGUUUUAAGUUGCAUCCGUUAAUGUCAGGAUGAACGAACACGUUUGUUGUUCACAGACAUACCAUAAGAAUGCGCGCACGAGGACGAGCGCACGUCAGUAUGGCCGUGACGGCGUUAACGAUAUUUAUGUUAUAUAGCACGUGCAAUAGGAGUGACUCACACAAGCCAGGCGCGCCGGCCGUGUCGUUCCACUCGUAAACAACAGCUGCAACAGAAGUGACUCAUAAGCCAGCUGCGCCGGCUAGUAUAAAAAGGCGGAACGUGCCUUGAAAUGAACAUUCGUUGGACUGCGCUUGCCUGGUGCACUUACUAUAUCCUCGUUACGUUGUGUGAUUCAGUGACUGUUGUACGUACUGGUUAAAGUUGGACAAGUGUUAAAGUGAAUUGUUAAGAUAACAUAUUGUUGAUUAAAUCAGGAAUCAAAUAG
Molecule: long non-coding RNA, 9915 nt
Organism: Bombyx mori (domestic silkworm)
Lineage: Eukaryota; Metazoa; Arthropoda; Insecta; Lepidoptera; Bombycidae
Exons: 2
Source: RefSeq, a predicted model, not a curated record